CAGUGUUGUAGUGACAACCAGUUCCCUAAUUUUUCUCUCUUAGUGUCCAAAGGAUAUAUCCACAGGCAUGUUUGCCCGUCUUCGCAGGUGCUUUGUUGAUGGAGAAGAGUCUAGAGAGAAGCAAACGAAAGCUGAAAGUAAUGAUGGACACAGGACGUGGUCAUGUGGAAUGUGGAAGGCCUGAAGACAAACGUCAUCCCCUGAAACUGUCCUAAACAAGGUGCAGGCCAACGAGGAAGAGGAGAGGCUGUUUAGAGAACUCGAGCUAACUACCAAGGAGAGAAAUGAGCUGACAGAUCGCCUCCUUUAUGUGACAGGUGGAUACAUGAACAAGAGCUCCUACUUCAGGCCAAAUCCAUUUUAUGAAAAAUUGAAGAUAAAGAAGAAAGAGGUAAUGUCAUUACUGCACAACUUAGACACAAACAACAUUGAACAUCGUGAGAAAUUUCAGGAGCUCAAGAAGGAGACUAACUUCUAUCAGUAAGUACUGGUCAGAAGGGCCCAUCACUUGUGGAAUGGCCAUCUCUGCCUCUCUUUGUUCUGGACUGGAGAGCCUGCAGCUCUGAGUCCAUCUGUUCUGCUGUUUAAAAAUCACUGUGCCGUGGGUCUUUUGGACUCAGUUUCAGUUCCAUAGGAGACUGUCACUUAUCACCACAGUAUCUAUGCAUCUUUAGAAGGCUCUGGAUAGAACUACACUGAUUCAGGCAUCAGAGUGUUAUUAGGCCGACCUGGGCCUCUGGGGUCAUACCAGGUUUAACAAAGCUCUAUGUGUGGACCACAUGGUUAGCAUGACCUCCCCUUGUUUCUACUGUCCUCCUGUGGUUGUUUGCUG
RNAcentral lists this long non-coding RNA (832 nucleotides) under Rattus norvegicus (Norway rat). Its description in RNAcentral is "long non-coding RNA NONRATT031349". Lineage: Eukaryota; Metazoa; Chordata; Mammalia; Rodentia; Muridae. The record is from RNAcentral.